RNAcentral lists this transfer-messenger RNA (439 nucleotides) under Patescibacteria group. RNAcentral's name for it is "JAFGCT01 sp016932505 Standard tmRNA". It matches the Rfam family "transfer-messenger RNA". Rfam says of the family: Bacterial tmRNA, also known as 10Sa RNA or SsrA, is named for its dual tRNA and mRNA-like properties. Its role is to liberate the mRNA from a stalled ribosome. The record is from RNAcentral. RNAcentral also lists the same sequence under 1 other name.
GGGGAUGUAUUUGGCUUUGACAUUGAUGGUUCAAGUCGCUAAAUCGCAAUCCAGGCAUCGCGCUGUCUGCCUGCUAAUUAGUCCAGCGCACGAAUAAGUGCUAAACUUACUCAAAAAGGUAACCUUGGUGCACGUUUCGCAUCUGUUAAAGCAGCUUUUGCUCCUUUAGCUUACGCACGCGUGUAAUUUAGGUUCCAACGACUGCCAAUUCGCAGUCUCGUCCAUGUUAGCGACACCUGCUGACUCUCAUGGGCGUAAUUUAGCAGGUUAAGCAUUUGCUCCGCAAUUAGAGGGGUAAAUGUCUACAAACUAAUCUAAAUAAGCGAUAGUGCUUUUGUUUGUUUCUAUACUAUCGUCGAAAACCACCAAACAAACUAAGAUUGUAGAAGUUUUUCGGCUUCAUCUUUGGACCCCGGUUCGACCCCGGGCAUCUCCACCA